GACGAACGCUGGCGGCGUGCUUAACACAUGCAAGUCGAGCGGAAAGGCCCUUCGGGGUACUCGAGCGGCGAACGGGUGAGUAACACGUGAGUAAUCUGCCCUUGGCUUUGGGAUAACUACCGGAAACGGUGGCUAAUACCGGAUACGACAACCGUCUGCAUGGGCUGGUUGUGGAAAGUUUUUUCGGCCAGGGAUGUGCUCGCGGCCUAUCAGCUUGUUGGUGGGGUAAUGGCCUUCCAAGGCCUCGACGGGUAGCCGGCCUGAGAGGGUGACCGGCCACACUGGGACUGAGACACGGCCCAGACGCCUACGGGAGGAAGCAGUGGGGAAUAUUGGACAAUGGGCGGAAGCCUGAUCCAGCAACGCCGCGUGAGGGAUGACGGCCUUCGGGUUGUAAACCUCUUUCAGUACCGACGAAGCGCCGAUGAUGGUGGUGACGGUAGGUACAGAAGAAGCACCGGCCAACUACGUG
Molecule: ribosomal RNA, 472 nt
Filed under: uncultured bacterium
Lineage: Bacteria
Description: partial 16S ribosomal RNA
Rfam family: Bacterial small subunit ribosomal RNA
Source: RNAcentral